AGCUUUGCGCAGUGGCAGUAUUGUAGUCAAUGAGGUUUAUCCGAGGCACGAUUAUUGCUAGUUGAAAAUAUGAACUAUGCAUUUAACUUCUCUUUAGGUACUCUUAAGAGUGUAAACUGUUUGCAAAUCUGUAUUUUAGA
Mustela lutreola (European mink) is the source of this 140-nucleotide small nuclear RNA. RefSeq annotates it as U4 spliceosomal RNA. The transcript has a single exon. The record is from RefSeq and is a predicted model, not a curated record. NCBI's taxonomy places the organism in Eukaryota, Metazoa, Chordata, Mammalia, Carnivora, Mustelidae.